CCUACGGGGGGCAGCAGUGGGGAAUAUUGGACAAUGGGGGGAACCCUGAUCCAGCCAUGCCGCGUGUGUGAAGAAGGCCCUCGGGUUGUAAAGCACUUUCAGUGAGGAAGAACGCCUGGUGGUUAAUACCCAUCAGGAAAGACAUCACUCACAGAAGAAGCACCGGCUAACUCCGUGCCAGCAGCCGCGGUAAUACGGAGGGUGCGAGCGUUAAUCGGAAUUACUGGGCGUAAAGCGCGCGUAGGUGGCUUGAUAAGCCGGUUGUGAAAGCCCCGGGCUCAACCUGGGAACGGCAUCCGGAACUGUCAAGCUAGAGUGCAGGAGAGGAAGGUAGAAUUCCCGGUGUAGCGGUGAAAUGCGUAGAGAUCGGGAGGAAUACCAGUGGCGAAGGCGGCCUUCUGGACUGACACUGCCACUGAGGUGCGAAAGCGUGGGUAGCAAACAGGAUUAGAUACCCCAGUAGUC
This 465-nucleotide ribosomal RNA is filed under the name Vreelandella stevensii. RNAcentral's name for it is "partial 16S ribosomal RNA". It matches the Rfam family "Bacterial small subunit ribosomal RNA", at positions 338 to 795 of the family's 1533-position model. Lineage: Bacteria; Pseudomonadati; Pseudomonadota; Gammaproteobacteria; Oceanospirillales; Halomonadaceae. The record is from RNAcentral.